This 68-nucleotide transfer RNA is filed under the name Euceros serricornis. RNAcentral's name for it is "tRNA-His". The record is from RNAcentral. Lineage: Eukaryota; Metazoa; Arthropoda; Insecta; Hymenoptera; Ichneumonidae.
AUUUAAAUAGUUUAAUUAUAAAACUUUGAUUUGUGGAAUCAGAAAUGUAUUAAUAUUUACUUUAAAUU